Molecule: long non-coding RNA, 522 nt
Organism: Mauremys reevesii (Reeves's turtle)
Lineage: Eukaryota; Metazoa; Chordata; Testudines; Geoemydidae
Exons: 4
Source: RefSeq, a predicted model, not a curated record
UUGUGCCAUUUCCAAAGUCUUCCCAGUGAAUGCCCAGCUUCUCCACUGUGCUUGCGUUACUGCAGAGGCUUUCCAUGCUACUGAUUGGUUUACUACAGGGCUGGCCUUACCAUAAGGCGAACUCAGGCGGCUGCCUCAGUGGCUCUGGGCCGAACACAUACCUGAUGUAAUUCUACUGAAAUCCAUGACUGAAUGCAAUCCAGCAACACAUUUGGCUUAACUGCUUUCCGUGGCUUAUGGAUGGUGGAAAGGUAUACUGACAGGUGUCUAAGAAACUGCAAGUUUAUUAGACAUCAGUUCGAAAUGGAGAGAGAAGGCCAAAUUCUGCUCUCAGUUACAGUGGAGUAAGUCUGGGGUACAGAAACUUCAGUGAAGUCAAGAGAUUGAUGAUGAGUUUUGAAGAUUUGGAUGAGUUAAAACAGCAGCAGCAGCAUCCAUGUGGGACUAAUCUUCCCUCGACAACUCUUAUGGUUUGAAUUAAUAAAUUCUUUCCAUAGGAAAUAUCUGUGGAAUGUCUCCAAC